Molecule: long non-coding RNA, 1068 nt
Filed under: Homo sapiens (human)
Lineage: Eukaryota; Metazoa; Chordata; Mammalia; Primates; Hominidae
Description: long intergenic non-protein coding RNA 1350
Source: RNAcentral
AGUGGCAAUUAAAAAAGAAAUAAACAUGAACUCCCCAAAUGAGCCACAAAAAUAAAUCAGCAUGUCUAAAUUUCAGAAUGAGAAACAAAGAUGCAAUUCUCUCCUCAGACCAAACGAAGCAGAGAUUUUCAAACUGCAGAGGUGCCACAGAAAAGGCUGAAUUCUCAAGCAUAGUGAGCUUAGACUUUAUAGCUAAAAUAGAAAUUUCAGCUUUUAGAGCUGAAAUAGAAGGUCUGAGCAUUAACAAAACAUUAGAACCUUGCAUUUAAAAAUUAGUAUGAGAAAUUUUUGUUAUUGUGCUGAGACCCUUACACACAUGAUUUCUUCUAGCCAAUACAGGCACAGAUUCAACAAAGAUGGUGCUUUAUUGUGAAAAUAGAAUAUUCACCUUGUCUUCUGACAUCAUAAAGACCACCCACAUUUGCACAGAUGCUGCUGCUAUAGUACUUUCAGGCAAGGCCAAGGCUUCUUGAAAGGCUGGUCAUGCCCCAGUGAUCAAUGAAGAACUCAGGGAUAUCCCAAAACUCAGGACUAUAAGGCACAAUGGGGGAGCAGGUACCAGGUGGCCAGCAUCCUAAAUGACUCUCAGCAGCUGCAGAGAAUGUAAAUAACAAGAGCUGCCUAUAAAUCUACCUCAGAAGACAAAGGGAAAAGCAAAACUCUGCCCAGGAAGACCUUACUUUACAAACCAGGUGACCAAAUUUCUAAAACAUCAUUCCCGUAAUCCCUGAUCAACAGAAAGGAAGCUCUGGAAGCAUGAAUGCUCAACCAUAUUUACCAGCCUUCCUGUGGUCAUUUGUCUGAGCUCCAGCUAGUGAAGUAUGAGUAGAACGGACAUGCACCACUUCCAGACCUGGCACCGGCAAACCCCCCAUGGCAACCCUCCAACCCUUUCCUCAACAACUGGACCACGCUGGAAAGGACUGAGGAUCUAGAGGAGGACAGGGCUGUAAUAUGGAAGGAGUUUGGUUUCUGAAGGACCAUGUAGCAGGCCACCUGCAGGGCGGGAACAUCUUUAAUAGGUUUGGAAUAGCAAGAAAUAAACUGGUCUUGUAUUAAACAACUAAU